Molecule: ribosomal RNA, 435 nt
Filed under: Pelvicachromis pulcher (rainbow krib)
Lineage: Eukaryota; Metazoa; Chordata; Actinopteri; Cichliformes; Cichlidae
Description: partial 16S ribosomal RNA
Rfam family: Bacterial large subunit ribosomal RNA
Source: RNAcentral
UUGUCUUUUAAAUGAAGACCCGUAUGAAUGGUAUUACGAGGACUUAACUGUCUCCUUUUUCCAGUCAAUGAAAUUGAUCUUCCCGUGCAGAAGCGGGAAUAUUUACAUAAGACGAGAAGACCCUAUGGAGCUUUAGACACCAGAACAGCCCCUGUCAAGCAUCCCCAACAGUAGCGAUGAAACUAAGUGGCCCCUGUCCUAAUGUCUUUGGUUGGGGCGACCUUGGGAAAACAAAAAACUCCCACAUGGACCGGGAGCACCUCUUGCUCCUACAACUUAGAGUCACAACUCAAAGUGACAGAACCUCUGACCAACAAGAUCCGGCAUAGCCGAUCAACGAACCGAGUUACCCUAGGGAUAACAGCGCAAUCCCCUUUUAGAGCCCAUAUCGACAAGGGGGUUUACGACCUCGAUGUUGGAUCAGGACAUCCUAAU